AUUUUGAUAUUUUUUCCGCUAUUUGGUCUUUUGACCAAUCACAUCAGUUCUUUUUCAAAACGGAUCUAAUUGGUAUGGAGCCCCUUAGGCAUCAUUGUGGAGAGAGCAAAAACUGCCAUACUAACCCGUUCCUUGGUUGUUGUUGUUGUUGUUUUUUAUCCAUUCCCCUUGAUUUAAAAAAAAAUCAAUUGCAAUUAUAUUUUUUAAUCAGUUCCCUCAUAUUUUGUAUUAAUUCACUCAGGUUUUUAAUCCACUCAAUUUUAAUAAUCCUCGGAAUAUGCGUGUUUUUCCAUUCAUUGUGUCUGGACCCCUUUGUCAGAAAUUAUGCUGCUGAUGGAACCAUAGUCUGAGAUCAAUUAGAACAGAUUGACUGCAGUGCUGUCGAGGGCAUGAUGGAUGCCCAACUCUCACAAUACGUGCCCAGGUUUGGUGAUCUUAAAUCAGUACUGCAAAAGAGAAGGGGCCGCUCUCCAGGGAUCAAGUGUAUCCAAUGCUGCAGAGAGGGAUAUAGAACAUUUUAAACACUGAAAGAAAAGUAAUGAGAAGUCAGCAAAACUUUGGAAACGCCAACAAUUAGAAAACAGAAUGUACUUUCCAAAUUGUAUGGCUGGAACAACUUGGUGUCAACUCAUUCUGCCAAGUCACAGAUAAAGAAAGGUGGUGAGACAAGACAAUUAAAGGCAGCAAAGAUGGUUACAAUAGCAGAGCUGUUGGAGGUCGGUACGGCACUUUUUUCUUUCCAAAUAGAAAAAGCUAACUAGGGCAUGUUAAUGGUUUUGAAUUCACCAUGCGAGACUUUACUGAGGAAGACCUAGACCCAUCUACUACAUUGGUCGAACAAUACGAACUCAGAAAAGUUUUAAACAUUUUUAGACUAUAUCUUUCCAGCAACAAAAGAAACGAUGCGGCAGAUGAAAGUCUCAAGGCAGCUGCCUCUAUCUCUACAGAGAAGAAUAACAGAACCAAGUACAACAGAAUCGCCAAUGUUUUCUCAUCUGACGACGAAAGCCUGGAAUUGGAGGAAAUCAGCACAGGGGACAUUACCAUCCACCGCAAAGAAAGCCUGGAAUCAGAGGAAAUUGACACAGAGGACAAUCCCAUCGGUCUUCAAGCUUACCACUCCCUCCACUCACCUGGCCAGGAAGAACAAAAACAUUUGCAUCUGCUAUAACAGACAGGAGGCUCUUGAUACCCCCUCACAACCAAUGGUUGAAAUAUCAGGUUUGAGUGACAAAAUACUGGGUGUAUCAAUAUCAAUGGACAAAGAAAUUCAAGUGGGAUAUCCUUUUCUAGCUGAUGAGUGCUUUGCGUGAUGAUGCACUUCCAAUUGAUGCUAUGUUAUUUUCAACGCCGAGGCCUACCCCCACCCCGCAAAGGAUACCCAGAAUCAGAAUUCGUAGAGGAAAUGUGUUCCAAGACCUGAAUGCUGCCAUUCAAGAUGUAGGUGUUUCUGAAGAAGACACCAUUUUAGAGAGAGAAAUUAUUCUACCCAAUGGCACCACAGAGAAAGGUGAGGCCCAUGUUGGAGUGCUGAGGGACGCCUUAAGUGAAUACUGGGAAACAUUCAUGAGGAAGUGAACAAGUGGAACCAUGAAAAUUCCCAUGACAUGAAGGACUCGUGGGAAACUGUUGCAAAAGUGAUGAUCCUUGGAUACAACAUGGUAGGCUACUUCCCUUUAGCGUUGGCCAAGCCAUUUUUGCAACACUGUCUUGGAGAACAGAUCAAAUCUGAAAACUUCUUGGCAACAUUUUUGGAGUCUAUACCAAGUGAGGAAAAGCUCAUCAUCAAACAGUCAAUCCAAGAUUGCUCGUCAGUUGCUGGGAGCACAUGAUGUCAAGAUUCUGAUCAAUGAGAUGAACUGGCAGAAGAUGCUACUUGAAGUCACCCACAAAGAAAUCAUAUCCUGAGUCCUGGAACAGCGUACUGAAAAGGUUGAAAAAGCAUCUUGGGGGUUUUGACUAGGUUCUCGGGAGCCUCACACCAACAUUCAAGAGUUGCUGCAGCUGUUAAACAUGAUACCUUACUCAAGAGGGAACAAACGAUCAUGGACUUUUUAAACAAGUACAUCCAUAACUGCUCAACCAACUGCCUAAGAAAUGUCUCAGAUUUUGCACAGGUGCAGAUGUCCUUGUCUUUAUACAGGUGCAGAUGUACUUGUGUCUACAGCCAUUCACGUCUACUUUGUUGAGCCCAAGAGUGACUUUGUGAGAAGCCCAAAUCACACACACGGAGAUGUGUUUUGGAGAUCCCCCAACACCUACACAUCAUACCUUGAGAUGCCAGAGGAAUUCACCCAGGUCCUGGAUUCCAAAGUGUGGGUGAUGGACAUCAUUUAAAUGUAAGUGAGACCUUUUCUCACACAAUGAACUUUCUCAAUUCAAUCAUGUAGCAUUAGUAGAUGAAUUGUCAAACGUUACCAGGGAGGAUGCUAGUUGCGUUAGAGGGGAGCAGUAUAAAUGUAUCUGUCUUGUUCCACCAGGCUACCUGACCCAAUUAUGUUUUUUUAAACAUUUUUAAGUUUUUAUAAUAUGUUUAUUAUUUUACAAUAAAAAAUCUAAUAAAAAAGACAGCAAUACUAACAAUGACAUUCAUUGUACUGUUGAAUGGGAUGGCCAAUUUAGAGGACAAAACUAAACUUAAACUCACACAUACACAAAAU
Oncorhynchus keta (chum salmon) is the source of this 2660-nucleotide long non-coding RNA. RefSeq lists it as uncharacterized. The record is from RefSeq and is a predicted model, not a curated record. The transcript has 3 exons. NCBI's taxonomy places the organism in Eukaryota, Metazoa, Chordata, Actinopteri, Salmoniformes, Salmonidae.